GAUGAGCGCUGGCGGCGUGCCUAAUACAUGCAAGUCGAGCGAACAGAUGAGGAGCUUGCUCCUCUGACGUUAGCGGCGGACGGGUGAGUAACACGUGGAUAACCUACCUAUAAGACUGGGAUAACUUCGGGAAACCGGAGCUAAUACCGGAUAAUAUAUUGAACCGCAUGGUUCAAUAGUGAAAGACGGUUUUGCUGUCACUUAUAGAUGGAUCCGCGCCGCAUUAGCUAGUUGGUAAGGUAACGGCUUACCAAGGCAACGAUGCGUAGCCGACCUGAGAGGGUGAUCGGCCACACUGGAACUGAGACACGGUCCAGACUCCUACGGGAGGCAGCAGUAGGGAAUCUUCCGUAAUGGGCGAAAGCCUGACGGAGCAACGCCGCGUGAGUGAUGAAGGUCUUCGGAUCGUAAAACUCUGUUAUUAGGGAAGAACAAAUGUGUAAGUAACUAUGCACGUCUUGACGGUACCUAAUCAGAAAGCCACGGCUAACUACGUG
This 497-nucleotide ribosomal RNA is filed under the name uncultured bacterium. RNAcentral describes it as "partial 16S ribosomal RNA". It matches the Rfam family "Bacterial small subunit ribosomal RNA", at positions 28 to 507 of the family's 1533-position model. The record is from RNAcentral.